This 1068-nucleotide ribosomal RNA is filed under the name uncultured eukaryote. RNAcentral's name for it is "partial 18S ribosomal RNA". The record is from RNAcentral.
GGGCGGUGUGUACAAGGGCAGGGACGUAAUCAACGCAAGCUGAUGACUUGCGCUUACUAGGAAUUCCUCGUUGAAGAGCAAUAAUUACAAUGCUCUAUCCCCAGCACGACGGAGUUUCACAAGAUUUCCCAGACCUCUCGGCCAAGGUUAAUACUCGUUGGCUCCGUCAGUGUAGCGCGCGUGCGGCCCAGAACGUCUAAGGGCAUCACAGACCUGUUAUUGCCUCAAACUUCCAUCGACUUGAAAUCGAUAGUCCCUCUAAGAAGUGACUAUACCAGCAAAAGCUAGCAGCACUAUUUAGUAGGUUAAGGUCUCGUUCGUUAUCGCAAUUAAGCAGACAAAUCACUCCACCAACUAAGAACGGCCAUGCACCACCACCCACAAAAUCAAGAAAGAGCUCUCAAUCUGUCAAUCCUUUUUGUGUCUGGACCUGGUGAGUUUCCCCGUGUUGAGUCAAAUUAAGCCGCAGGCUCCACUCCUGGUGGUGCCCUUCCGUCAAUUCCUUUAAGUUUCAGCCUUGCGACCAUGCUCCCCCCAGAACCCAAAGACUUUGAUUUCUCGUAAGGUGCCGAGUGCGUCAAAAAAAGAACAACACCCGAUCCCUAGUCGGCAUAGUUUAUGGUUAAGACUACGACGGUAUCUGAUCAUCUUCGAUCCCCUAACUUUCGUUCUUGAUUAAUGAAAACGUCCUUGGCAAAUGCUUUCGCAGUAGUUAGUCUUCAGGUAAUCCAAGAAAUUCACCUCUGACGACUGAAUACUGAUGCCCCCGACCGUCCCUAUUAAUCAUUACGAUGGUCCUAGAAACCAACAAAAUAGAACCAUAACGUCCUAUUCUAUUAUUCCAUGCUAAUAUAUUCGAGCAAAGGCCUGUUUUGAACACUCUAAUCUUUUCAAAGUAAAAGUCCUGGUUCGCCAAACACCACAAGGGCGAAAGGUUAGCCAGAAGGAAAGGCUCGGUUGGGUCCAGUACUCGCCAAAAAGGCGGACCGGCCAACCAAGCCCAAGGUACAACUACGAGCUUUUUAACUGCAACAACUUUAAUNUACGCUAUUGGAGCUGGAAUUACCG